UACGUAGGGGGCAAGCGUUGUCCGGAUUUACUGGGCGUAAAGAGCGUGUAGGCGGCCACGCAGGUCCGUUGUGAAAACUGGAGGCUCAACUUCCAGCCGUCGACGGAAACCGUGUGGCUAGAGUCCGGAAGAGGAGGGUGGAAUUCCUGGUGUAGCGGUGAAAUGCGCAGAUAUCAGGAAGAACACCAAUGGCGAAGGCAGCUCUCUGGGACGGUACUGACGCUGAGACGCGAAAGCGUGGGGAGCGAACAGG
RNAcentral lists this ribosomal RNA (253 nucleotides) under uncultured bacterium. RNAcentral's name for it is "partial 16S ribosomal RNA". It matches the Rfam family "Bacterial small subunit ribosomal RNA", at positions 524 to 776 of the family's 1533-position model. The record is from RNAcentral.